GUUACAGGUGAUAAAAUCCAAAUCAGACUAGCUUGAGCAAAGAAUUUGCUUUUCUUGGCUUACACGAUCAAAGUUCAGGAAGAGCAAAACGAAAAUGCCAUCAGAACUCACCUUCCGGCGCCUCACACCUCUGCUUUUUCUCUCAAACCAACUUCACGUGUGGAAGAGCAGCCAGCACAUGCCCUAAGUCUUAGGAUGGGAGAGUUCCACUUUGGAAAAGCCUGGAAGGAAGACUCCAGAGCAAGUACCUAAGGUAGCAGCCAGAGGAAGGGUCCUGGGCGGGUCCUCCACGCUUCUGCCCCCGGACCUGUUCAGCAAACGUGCCACCUCUGAAAAGUUGGGCUCUUCUGAGUUUCCUGCAGAAGCUGACCUUCCACGGGACAGACGUCUGCUCGAGAGGAAAGCAAAGGAAUGUGUUGGGAAAGUGGGUAAAUGAAAGCCUGGAAAUUAAUUUUAGAUACCAUUUUCUCCAACCGUGAAUCUUUUUUUUUAGAGUCACAUAAAAACUGCCUAGGUUUGAGGGGGAGCCAUCAAGUUUCUCAAAGGCCCUACAUGAUCUGCAAACCCAGUCUUCGUGUGAAAAUGGUGUCCCAGAUGCUGGUCACCCAUCUGCCUUCUCACCUCAAUCCCACUUUCGCAUCUGUGAUGUGCAGACAAACUAAAAACCUGUUCUUUGCCAUGGGUCUUUGAUUUCUUUAAAAGUAAGAAAAUUGUUUUAAAGCAAGACAUUUUUAGGAACAGCUUUGUCUCUGGAAUCUAAACCCCUGGCAUUCCACAGUAGAAUCUCACCACCGUUCAGUGUGCUGGCAGCCAUGUCUCUACCUUAGUUCUGCAGUUUCCGCUGGAGGAUCAGACUAAGACACCGGCAAGGGAUCGUGGUGGCCACUGUCACCCACAGAGUCUGAGCCCAGGCAUUUCUAACACACAGGGAGCAGUGAGCUGCUGCUCUUUCACAUUUCGCAGAUGAGGAAAUGAAGGCAGAGUUGAAAUAACUUGCCCGAGAGUACCCAGCUACCAAGCGGUGACUCCAGAUUCAAGCCCAAGGGUUCUGACUCCAAAGAAUAGAGACCCUGCCCAACUGAGAGCACUUGACUGUAACUCUGGUUCUAAAGCACUUCAGUCUUGGAAUGCGGGCACCCCAGGACCCAGGACUCAUGGAACAAUAAAAUCAUGGAGGUGGUCUCCUGGCCUCUUCUCCAUUUCUUGGUUUGGUUCUCACCUUGUCCUGGCCCUGAUUUCCCUGUACCUCUUGGAUUAAAGCAAGGCUCUGGCGGCCUGUUCACGCACUACUGUUCUCCAGCAGCUCCCCUUUGGCUCCAUCCCGCCAGUGCUGAAUAUUGUACACCUCUUUAUCUAUUUUCACAU
Lagenorhynchus albirostris (white-beaked dolphin) is the source of this 1365-nucleotide long non-coding RNA. RefSeq lists it as uncharacterized. The transcript has 5 exons. NCBI's taxonomy places the organism in Eukaryota, Metazoa, Chordata, Mammalia, Artiodactyla, Delphinidae. The record is from RefSeq and is a predicted model, not a curated record.